RNAcentral lists this ribosomal RNA (250 nucleotides) under uncultured bacterium. RNAcentral describes it as "partial 16S ribosomal RNA". It matches the Rfam family "Bacterial small subunit ribosomal RNA", at positions 524 to 773 of the family's 1533-position model. The record is from RNAcentral.
UACGGAGGGUGCGAGCGUUGUCCGGAAUUACUGGGCGUAAAGCGCGUGUAGGCGGUCUUUUAAGUCUGAUGUGAAAGCCCCGGGCUCAACCCGGGAAGUGCAUUGGAUACUGGGAGACUUGAAUACGGGAGAGGGCAGUGGAAUUCCUGGUGUAGGAGUGAAAUCCGUAGAUAUCAGGAGGAACACCGGUGGCGAAGGCGGCUGCCUGGACCGAUAUUGACGCUGAGACGCGAGAGCGUGGGGAGCAAAC